Molecule: transfer RNA, 69 nt
Filed under: Rattus norvegicus (Norway rat)
Lineage: Eukaryota; Metazoa; Chordata; Mammalia; Rodentia; Muridae
Rfam family: tRNA
About the family: Transfer RNA (tRNA) molecules are approximately 80 nucleotides in length. Their secondary structure includes four short double-helical elements and three loops (D, anti-codon, and T loops). Further hydrogen bonds mediate the characteristic L-shaped molecular structure. tRNAs have two regions of fundamental functional importance: the anti-codon, which is responsible for specific mRNA codon recognition, and the 3' end, to which the tRNAs corresponding amino acid is attached (by aminoacyl-tRNA synthetases). tRNAs cope with the degeneracy of the genetic code in two manners: having more than one tRNA (with a specific anti-codon) for a particular amino acid; and 'wobble' base-pairing, i.e. permitting non-standard base-pairing at the 3rd anti-codon position.
Source: Rfam by way of RNAcentral
GGGGAUUUAGCUCAGCGGUAGAGCGCUUGCCUAGCAAGCGCGAGGCCCUGGGUUCGGUUCCCAGCUCCA